AAUGAACGUUAGCGGCGCGCCUGAUGCAUGCAAGUCGAACGAUUUGAUGAUCCGCAAGGAUUGUCAGAUAGUGGCGAACGGCUGAGUAACGCGUAAGUACCUACCUCCGAGUGUGGAAUAACUUGCCGAAAGGCAGGCUAAUACCGCAUACGCUGAUGAAUUAAUUUUAUCAGUAAAGCUUUCGAGCGCUUGGAGAAGGGCUUGCGUCUGAUUAGCUAGUUGGUGGGGUAAUAGCCUACCAAGGCGAUGAUCAGUAGCUGGUCUGAGAGGACGACCAGCCAGACAGGGACUGAGACACGGCCCUGACUCCUACGGGUGGCAG
This 322-nucleotide ribosomal RNA is filed under the name uncultured Chloroflexota bacterium. RNAcentral describes it as "bacterial SSU rRNA". It matches the Rfam family "Bacterial small subunit ribosomal RNA", at positions 29 to 351 of the family's 1533-position model. Lineage: Bacteria; Bacillati; Chloroflexota. The record is from RNAcentral.